RNAcentral lists this transfer RNA (66 nucleotides) under Acanthaspis cincticrus. RNAcentral's name for it is "tRNA-Asn". The record is from RNAcentral. Lineage: Eukaryota; Metazoa; Arthropoda; Insecta; Hemiptera; Reduviidae.
UUAGUUGAAGCCAAAACAGAGGCAUUUCAUUGUUAAUGAAAAAAAUGAUAUACUUAUCCAACUAAA